UAAAGUGAAAAUAAACUACAGCUCCCAGCAGCCCUUGCUGCGGGAGCUGUAGCUUACUUUCACUUUCUUCUAUGCAGUCGCCCGCCCCGGCAGAGCCAGAUAGAGGGGACACAGGGAACAAGCUAACUCCCCAGCCUCCCCCCAGCUGCCUUUCAUCGUCACAGCAGUGCUGAGCUGAAUAAGAAGAUUUAGCCGAAAGGGGGCGGGGCUACACGGCACUGUACACAGUGCCAGUCCAGCAAGCAGCAUGGGAGACAGAAGCUCACUGUGUAGCAGCAGAAGACCCUAAACAGAUAUCGCAAUCAAAAAUUAAGACAGAAAUCCAGGAACAGAGCAUUUUGUCCUUCCUGGAAUAGGUCAUGUUGAGAGCGAGGAAAAGAAACCUUGAUGUGAAUGGUCCAACGUGCAGCGUGAGUACAGGCUGAGCUGAACACAAGACAUAUUCAAGGCCAGACAGCCAGAUGGUCAACCCAAGGACAGAAUGUCUGAACAUCCAGAACAGCAGGGCCCUGACCAUAUGACCAUUAUAGAGGAUGUCUUGUCCACAUGCCAAGAAGGCUGAUAAGCGGGAAGCAAUAAAACAUAUUCAAAGAUG
Pseudophryne corroboree (corroboree frog) is the source of this 595-nucleotide long non-coding RNA. RefSeq lists it as uncharacterized. Lineage: Eukaryota; Metazoa; Chordata; Amphibia; Anura; Myobatrachidae. The transcript is spliced from 4 exons. The record is from RefSeq and is a predicted model, not a curated record.